GGUUAGGAACAGGGAUCCCGAGCUCUGUCUGAGGUCACAGUCAGCUACACCCCUGGCCCUUUUUUUUUGAGACAGGGUCCAGCUAAAUCGCUGAGGCUGGCCUUCAACUCGGGAUCCUCCUGCCUCAGCCUCCCAAGCUGCUGGGGUGACAGGCGUGGGCCCCUGCGCUCGGUGCCUUUGUACUGUCUCUGACUGUGGCUGCUGAGGCAGAAGCUCAGAUGCUUCUGAGUCUCUCCUACCCAGCACUAUGAUCUGAAGUGACAGUGACGAUGGCAGCAGCCUCCUUCCCGUCUUCAUUCACUUCCUUCCGUAUCUGGCUUCUUGAGCCCAUCUGACCGCAGAGUUGUGCUGAGCAGAAAGGACAGCAAGGGACAGGCCUCCUGUCCUCGUCUGGUCCUCAGGACGAAGGCGUCGGUGCGUCACCCUGAGUGACGGUGUCGGCUGCGGGUGAGCACACGCGUGUGGUCAGCAGACAUGCUCUAUCUCAUUAAGAAACUUCUGGAAGCCUUGAUCCUGAAAGGUGUGAAUUCCACCCACCUGUUUCCCUGUCGGCUGCUUUUGGCCCACGGUGGCACCUGCAGGUCCCCCAAGCGAGGAGGGUGGGUGGCUGGUCUCAGGCCAGAUCUUCCCAGAGGGCACCCUGCAGGGAGCCCAGAUGGACAGGUGCAGGGGGGACACGCCCUGGGCCCCAGCCAACCCCCGGCAGGGCCUGUUUCCUUCCAGAACCCAGCGAGCCAAGAGCAGGGGCUGCCCGGGCUGCUCUUGUGCCUGGGUCCCCUUCCAGAAGAUUCUGGACAGAUGAGGAGGCUGUGGCUUGGAGGCCGUCACAGGAGAGCCAGAGGGUUCCAGAUUCUGGGUCCAAGUCCCACAGACACCUCAGGCCACUGGGCCAAAGCUGUGCCUCCAGAAAAGAGCCACGGUACGUGUGGUUUCUGCUGUGUCUGUUCAGCCCCACAUCCCAGGGCAAGUCCCUGUUCCCGCCAGACCAGGGGACGUUGGGAACCUGAGUUACCAGUGACAGACGCCAGAGGAAAACCGCUUCAGCCUCCCAGGAGGGGAUUUCUUGAUCCACAGGGGGAAGGCACACUCUUCCUUUGGGGGGGCCAAGAAGUCUGGGAUCACACCUCCCGCCUGAAGUGGGUGAGUCCAGGAGAAAGGCAGCAGCCCUUCCAAUUGAUGAGGUGAACCCUUAGGACGGAGGCUCUCAGGGGCCCAGGUCAAUCCACACACCCAAAUGGACACGCCACUGGCAACAUACGGUCCAAGACGCUGGGGCUGGGGCUCAGGGGCAGAGCACUGGCCUGGCAUGUGUGGGGCACUGGGCUGGAUCCUCAGCACCACAGAAAAAUAAGUAAGUAAA
Marmota monax (woodchuck) is the source of this 1360-nucleotide long non-coding RNA. RefSeq lists it as uncharacterized. The record is from RefSeq and is a predicted model, not a curated record. Lineage: Eukaryota; Metazoa; Chordata; Mammalia; Rodentia; Sciuridae. The transcript is spliced from 3 exons.